AAGAGGGAGUAGAUUUUGAACAGAAAGUUCUUCGAGGUUAAGUCGGUUUUGGGCUUUCAUUCUUUUGGUUCAAUCUCGCAAGUUUCUUUGAGUCUUCCUUUGUGUGAUAGUCGCUGCCUCUUCUCCUCAUUCCGACUCAGUUCGCUGCCCCGAAUAAGGUAAACCACUCAAAAUCCCUUUGGUUUCUUUCAAGUUAUUUAUGUUGGCUGUUUGUAGCUCUGCGGAGUCUAGACGAACUUGUGUGAUGUGUUCGAAGUUGUUAGUUCAUGUUUCUAUGUCCUCUAAAGCCUCUGUUCAUGUCCUUUUUCUGUGUCUUUAUUUUUUUGAUUUAACGUUCAAUCAAGAUCACAUUGUCGACAUUCGUUAUCCCUCAAAUGUGAAGAAAUUUGUUCAUUGGUCUAUUAUUUUUGCUCAACUUAGACAUUUUUUGGGUUGUAAGUACAUUCGUGCAAUUGACUCCUUUUUAACAUGGUUUAUUACUGUGUGAAUGUGAUAACAAGAUGGUUUGUGUUUGUAAUAACUUUCUAUGUUUUCUCUGUAUCAUUGCACCCCUUUGCUGAUAAUUUUCGUUACGUUUGAUAAAGAUUGACUGAUUAGUUCUUCUUCAAACAAAAGUGUUGUCUUUUUCUCGGUAAAUUUUGAGGACUUAUUUGGAAUUGUACAUCUCUUAGUUGCUUCUCCUGUAGCUCAUAAAAUGUCAUAUUGUGGACAUGCCUAAUCUUUCCGCACAUAUAUGUACACAUAUGCAUUUUCAAUUUUUUUUAGGAAUUGAAUGAGCCUGUGGGUAGUGUGUCUUGGUGAAAAUUACGCUUAAUUCGAAGCCUCUCAAUAGGGAGUUUAGAUGUUGUUGUAUUCGUUUGUGCAUAAAAAUCAUCAUGGUGUUCAAAUGAGAAGUCGAAUGCAUGUCGCUGACUUAUUUCGUCUCCAAAUCGUGCCUAGAUUAAUUUCUUUAUGAUUCUUUUAAAUAUUUUUCGGUUUUGAGUUGCUGACUUUUUGCUGCUUCUUUCUGCCAUUCCGAUUUUACUUUCCCUCUACUGUUUGGCGUGUAAUGCUGUAAAGCUUAAGCCUUUCUUCAUUGAGGAGUAGCCCAAAAUGAUUAGGAAGGUAAAACUGUUCAUUAUAUGGAGCCUUAAUACAAAUUUUAUGACAUGUUUCUUCCCUGUAUUUGUCUUUCAUUAGUUAAUAUGAGGUUUGAGCACAUCUAAACGUUAAAUUAUAUAUUUUUAUCACUAUUAUUUCUUCUCGUAUGGUGAUAUGAUUUCAUACAUAAUAAGGAGUUUGAUGGAUAGUUAAGCGAUAAUAGAUUGUUCGUGUGUAACACUUUGACAAAAAAUAAGAAAAAACAUUUUAUCAAUCGUAGGCAACUUCUGGAAACUAUUUUAUUUUCAUGGAUUAAUGUAUUAAAUUUGGAAUCUAAGGAUAUUAAUUCAUGUGAUAGGAAGUGAGCAUUGAUCCAUUUUCCUUCUGUGGGUCGGUAGCUUUUGCAUAAAACAAGUUGUAGAUUUAUUGUUAUUUUGUGAUGAACCGAGUUGCUCAAUAUUGUGUGGUUUCGUACUUAUGUGUUUUAUUAUUCUGCUACAUGUGAAAUCUACCAAGGGUCACUAUAAACUCCAAUCUAUCUCCGACAUUUCGAGAGAGACACAAAGGCUAAAAAUUUCUCCUUCUAGUCUCUCGACCUUAAAAUUGAUGAGUAGGUCCCCCAAACAUGGGGAAUAUGAAUUAAAUUGAAGAAUUGAAGUCUUGUUAUUUUCAAGCUUAAGCUCUUCUAAAGUUUUCCUUAUUAUCAUUGCGCUAGAACUUAGGACAGGUACCAAAUGGAAAUGGGUCAAAACACCCAAAAGAAAUGGGUCCAACUACCGGUCAAGGCUGACAUAAACCAAAUUUGGACCCAACUCUCUCUCUCUCUCUCUCUAUCUCUUUUACUUUACUGUAUAUUUACUUGAUAUUGGUUGUCGUUAGUGUUAGAAUUAAAAACUUGAAUUCCCCGAAAGACACCACUUUGUUUUAGUUGUUAAAACUAAAUUGAUUGUCUUUAUGUAAACCUAAAAAAUAAAUAAACUUUGCAAGUUAAAUAAACUCACUUAAGUGGUAAGUCGGUUUCUUACCCUUUUUCAGAUUUCAAAUAAAGGUGAAUUAAAUCAAAGAAUUUUAGCCAAACUAAGUUAGUUGUUUAAUAAUUGCAAGUUAGCAAAUAUUUUAGGUGCCGUAAAAACCUUCCUAAAAUGUAAAUAUGAAUUCCCGAACCCCUUUUAAUGUUUUCUUAAGAUUUUCUGUUUAAAUCUUUUGAAAAUUAAGUUUUCUUGAUUUUUCUUUAAAAAUUCAGCGUCAACUCUAAAAAUGUCUAAAAUCUUUUAAAAUAUUUUCUUAUAAGUAAAGCAGAAUGGUGAAUCUUCUUGGAAAUUGGAGGAUUCUAACCUUAAAACUAAACUUAUGUGGCUAUGUGAAAGAACUAUCUAUUCUGUCCUUAUCAUGUUAUAUCAACUAUGGACUUUUCAUGGCAUAUUUCCGUGAAAUGAAAAAUAGUUUGCAUUAGGAUAAAGGGAGUUACAUAGCUUACCACAACUUCUUUCAGAAAACAGACAAGUCUUUCUUUAGAAGAAAUAAAUGAAUUGUUGGCUUGCGGUAAUACAACGUCGUUUGUUAGCUUCACCUCACCGUCUGUCUGAGUUGGGUAACUGUCACUUUUGAACCAAUUGUAGUCAACCUAAGAUGUAGAGAAACCAAAAUCGAAUCUAAAAAUUAAUCCAAGAUGGCUUAACGCUCAAGGAGUGUUGAGUCCAUUAUAAAGAUCACCUUGAGUCCAAAACGGCCCACGGUCUAAUCUGACAAUCAGGCUUACAUGUUUAAAUUUGAAGGUUAUAUAUGUUACUUGAAAAAAUAAUUGUUCCUUGGCGCUAGAGAGUUUAAUUGUUUGUACUAGUCGAAGAAAGAGUUGUACAAGCCACUGGUCCUGCCAAAGGCGUUGAUAUUUGGAGAAGAAAAGAAAUCGAGAUUGAAGGACGUUAUAUGGAAACUUAGUUUAAGAUCGUACCCCUGCGUGGAAUGAUUAUUUGUACCCAUUUUCCCUACUGUGUAUCCCCAUUCAGCUUAUUUAUAGAGCUUGUAUAAAUUUGGGUUUUGGGACAAUGAGAUGUUUCAAAUGACAUAUAUAUCCUUCGAAUUACUAGGUCUACCCUUGGCACAAAAGGGUCACAAGCAUGUUUAGGGGGCGAUAUUUGUAUGUAUACUUCUAUGCUAUGUUACUUUGAAUGAGAACGUUGUUAACCCACUCCUUUCAGGAAAUUUCUUAAAAAAUAUACACAAGUCUCCUACAAAGUCCAACCAAUUUUUUUGAGUCUUGAGUUUCUCAAACAAAAGCAAAUCUUAUCACCAAAUUCUAAAACAUUAUUCUAUCAUCUCAAGAAAAGAAAAAUCACAGCUAUUGAUAAAGGUAAGGGUAUCAAGAUAGAGCCUACUGGGGAAGAGUUGCAGAGGAAAAUAGAACGAAUCAUGUACAAAAUUCAAGAGAUUAUAUAAGAAGGAUUCAAAGUCGAGAUUUCCAUGAUAGUCUACAAAGCCGCAACUGCGAUGCUGGAUAAGGAUUUGACGUCUAAGAUAAAGAAAAGGAAAGAUACCGAGAUAGAAAGAGAGAAAUUGGGGAAGAGGUUGGAUAUGCUCUGACAGAAGAUUCGGGAAAGGCAAGAAAGAGAAAAAGAGAUAGAUUUAGCCACCUGAUACCCUCAAAUUUACUUCUCGAAAAGAAGUAUAAGCAGGCGUAUCAAGUAAAGAACCCGACUAUGAGGUUGGGGUCGAUCAUACAAGAAAAACUAUUUAGACUUAACUUUAACUUACAAUUACUUCUAUUUAAUCAAGUCCUUUCCAAAAACAGGUAAUAAAAGAGGGUUUUAAAUAACAAAAGGAAUUAAAUAUUUCUAUGUAAACAAGUAGCAAGUGGGAAUUUGAUAUUUAUUAAGUGCUGAGAGUAACUACGGCAUAAGUGUUCCUACAGGUUCAUAACACGGUAAUUCUAGCUAUAACAAUCUUUUUCUAGUAUCUUGCAUAGAAAGUGGUAAGUUAUGUAUCCCUAAUUCCUUGGUCUGGAACCUAGGGAAUUUCAUUCCGUACCUUGGUCCAGAUACGUAUGUAUGAUAUACUAAACCUUACAUUUACCUCAUAUUAACCAUCAUAAUCGAUGUAUGGCUUAUUUGUUACUUCGCACCAAUUGACACUAGCCUAUUAGAUAGUGUAUACUAAAUCUAUGUUGAUAAUUAUUUUCUUAUUGUCUACCUCCUUGUUAUGGCAAGUAGCAACACAAAGAGUUCUAAAACGUGCACUCGUUAAAAAGACUUCUAAAUGAAAGAAUUAUCAAUAUAUGCAAGACACUAUUCUAGAAUUGUUAUUUUAACUUGUAUUUACCUUGUUAUUUACGCAUGGUUCGCACAACCCUACUUAUGGAUUUAGUUACCCAUGUUAACAAUCACACAACUCAUAUUGAUUAGACAAGAAUUGAUGUACUUACUUUGAUAAGAUUGAAGAAAAUCCAGAAAACAACUUGAAUAAAUCAAAGUCUUGCAACAAGCGAUUCCGGAAAGUAGAAUAUUUCCCAAAAUCUCAAGUUCAAUAACUAAGAAAGUAAAACUGAAAAUUACCAAAGUGUCUAACACCAAAUACGAGGUUUUUACAAGUAUUUAUAAUAAAGAAGUCCUAACAUAAAAAGGAAAUCUAUUUAAGGAAAAUAUUCCAAAAAAGCGUCUGAGUCGACGACCGGACCAAUGGACCGUCGAAGACACGAUGGACCGUCGAGGCCUCCUGUCGUUCAACACUUAGAAUCUUUUUCAGCUGCUUUCUUCUCCUAUGCAUGUUACCACCGAUAAAGUAGGAUUAUGGUCCGGUGAGUGCACGAUGUCCCAUCGAUGGCUUUCGUUUCUCCACACUUAGAAUCUUUUCAAGACGGAUACUGGGGAAACUUUCUGUUAGCAAUGACGCAUGUGCAGGAUGGUCUGUCAUGAAGAUAAAGGUCCGUCGAUAUCUUCCGUAGCCCCACACUUGGUCAGAAUACCCUGAUUUUCCUUCACCAGCAUUUUCUUCAGAUGACGGUUGCCACAGACGAACCGUAAUUGUCUGCACGGGUCAUCACUUCUGCAAUUUUAGCACAGUUCUUCCGCAUUUUCAUUCUAGACAGUUUUCCUACCAACAAAUAGAGAAAAAAAUUAAAACUACUAUAAAAAGUCCUUAGACACACACUAAACUGAAGGAAAAAGUACCAUGAAACCACGGUACAUCAACAUCAUCAACUUAAAUUCGUUGUUUGUCCUCAUGUAAUGCACUAUGACUCACCACAAAACCUUUGUAGAAGAGUAUCUUUAUUUUAGCUUUCACAAUUAUUUUGUUAUCGAUCCUGAUUAUUUUGAUUAUGUUUAUGCAUGAUAUAACUAUUAGGCUCGCUCAUAUGGAUCAGACCAUGACACGAACUCACCACACACCGACUCCUAUCCUCUUUGAUAUCUCACCAAGGUACCAAUUUUCCGGUAUUGCAACUACUGUCCUCACUUAAAAAAAACAUCCUUAUUUUUCACAGAAUUAUUUCAGUUUGAGUAUAAGGAUUAUUUUUUUCAACACUCGCUCUCAAAAAAAAAUCACACCACAUUUAUACCUGUUGCCAUAGGCUUGCCCUUAUUUUCACUUCUUUAAGUUCACUAUAAUUGACUCUGAGGAUCACGAUAGGACUUUCUUAGCUUGAAACAUAGGCUCUUGGUCAGGUAGGGUACUUAUGGAUGUAUUUUAGUGACUUAUUACCCUCCUUGACAUAACGGAUAAGUGUCCUACCUUUUCAUCGUUUUAUUCCGCCCUAUUCCUUCAUUUUUUUUAUAUUCUUUCGUCUUACUUUUAUCCUUUCUUUCUCCUUUUGUGUAAGUGAUUUUUUUUUAUAAAAAAAUUUCAGUUUUCUUUAAAAUUUUCAUUUUCUUUUGUUCUUUCCCUUUCUUUAUUCUUUCAAUCCCACUUCCCGGAGCAUUCCUCAACUAGCCACCCUCAACUCAUGGUUUUUCCAUGUGUCAACAUAUACACUACCCAUGGUUGGGUUAGGGGAAUGAAAAGAUGGUUUUCUGCAAUAGCCACCCUCAACUAAUGAUUUUGGUAUAAGCUGAGGUGCACAUGUCCAAGGAGGUGCCAGAGCCAACAUAUUGUUCCCAGAAAAGAUCAUUUAGGGUGAAAAUUAAAGGUCUAUUUUUAGCUCAAAUCAUUUGGAUCUAGAAAGAUUAAUUUCAUUUGGUUUUCUAUUUAUCUAGGCUAAAGAUUGGCUAUCUUGAACAUGGGCCUAUGAUCCUUUCCUAAUUGUCUAUAACAACUUACUUUUAGCAGGACUAACCAGGCAUGUUCUAGCUCGAUACCAAUGGUGGACUAUUCAAAUUUUCCUCACACUUGGUUGAAAUCUCAUUACUCUACCAAAUUAUCAAAUACCUAGUUAAAGUUUAAUAUUCAGGGACAUGCAGUGGUGUAUCUCUAUGUCAUGCUUAGAACCACACAUUCAUCAGUUACUAUGCCUAGUCAUGUAGCAUUUUCUUUAAAUCACUAUAUCAAUUUAUUUAGCCAUCAUGCUUCAGAUUCCAUUUCUGUACUAUGUACAGAAGAUACCAACAUGCUGGUUCAACAAUAAAAUAACCAGUCUCUUGGGGAAAAAGAACACAGGCAAGAAAACACCAAGAGAGGAUCGUGAGUUGGGCUACUCAGAUUUAACCCUAGCACUCACUUUCCAUUUACCCCACCUCCAACAAAAAGACAUGCAAUUGUCCGCAAUGCAUAAAAGUAUAUAAAAUGGGGUGGUAGGUGAAGCAAACAUGAGGCGCAAAGCGCCGAUGAUCAACAUGCUAACCCCUUUGUCGACAGUGCCCUAACUUAGAAAAAUUUAAAGAAUAUACCUGGGCACAACGGAUCCUACCGACGGUUCGUCGAAGGGACGAUGUUCCGUCAAUGGGUGCACCAGACCAAUUUUACCAAGAUUUCUGGUGAUUUUGUCCUUGAACAUUUAACACCCAUUAAGAUAAUCUUUUUGUGUUUUCUGGACGCAUUUUUUUGAACACAGACCCUACAGUACGAUCUAGCCAACAUUCCUAAAGAAAAAUAAAAGAACAUUUAGACGUGACAUAAGUAAUAAAAGCAAAAAUAAUGCAACUAUGCCUAGAAAAUGACUAAAAGCUAUAGUUCGCUAGAGGAUAUAUAUUGGGUUGCCUCCCAAUCAACGCUUGAUUUAACGUCACGACACGAUAGAGAACUUUUGAUUACUCAGAUUUCAUCAAGAUGGUAUGCCUCAGUCACUUCACGCGCCAUUUCAGCAUGCCCUAGAUGGAUUUUGAUUCGCUGCACGUUCACCUUGAACAUUACACCGUCCUUGUUCUCCAACUCAACCACACCAUGUGGGAAUAGUUGGCUGAUCAAAUAGGGACCAGUCCAUUUGGACUUGAGUUUGCCUUGAAACAAGCACAACCUAGAAUUGAACAAAAGCACCAAAUCCCCCACCAAAAAAUCGUGCUUCUCAAUCUUUUGGUCAUGGUACUUCUUCAACUUUUCUUUGUAGAGGGCUGAACUUUCAUAUGCCUUCAAGAAAAAUUAAUCAAGCUCAUUCAACCCUUUUAACCUCUGUUCAUCAAGGUGAACUCUUUUUUUCUUCUUUUAUAUCUUUUUCGGUAAUCGAUACACACCCUCUAUCCAGUCACUGGUCUCAUCGGGACAAACUCAUUUUUCUCAUUGGGGACCACAGUAAUUCCCCCUUUAUUAGGUACAAAUUGAACAAGGCAUACACAAAUACUGUCGGCGAUUGUAUAUAUCACUCAAACAUCCAACCACUUAAUAAUUUCCUUGUUCACCACCUAAUGCAUAGGUGGAUUGAAACAUCUCUAGUGCUCAAUACUUGUCUUGAUCGGGCAUGACUUGGAUUUUAUGUGAACAAAUCCAGGAAGGGAUCCCAAUAAUAUAAACCAUAGUCCACCAAAUAGCUCUUUUGAACCUUUUUAACACCUCCACUAAACUCUCAACUUGAUGCACAUUCAAAUCUUAUGCAAUAAUUACCGGUAAAGUGUCACCUUUUCCCAAGAAUACAUACCUCAAAUAAGGUGGUAGAGCCUUAAGUUCUACUUUUGCAGCCUUCUCUAUAGAUGGCUUCACGGGUAGAGACUCGCAAUGAUUUAUAUCGAACUCCAACUUCUUUUGUUUAAACCAAAAAUCACCGCGAUCAAGUGCCGCGACCAAUGACCCAUACUCUUCAAUGCAAUCACUAUCAAAAUUCAUGAUCACUGCAGCUAGUGCUUUUAGACCCAUACGAUCUUCUAUUUGUACCUCAGAUGACUUUUCAACCCUGUAAUAUAUGGCAGAUACCGAUUGGAGAUGACCACUCUACCUUAUGGACCUACAAAUGUUGAAAGUCAGUUCUUCAUUGUUCAAGCGAUAUUUCAUUUGCCCUUUCUCCAUAUCAGCCAAGGAUUUACCCGUAGCAAGGAAUGACCUCCACAGAAUAAUAGGCACCUCAAAAUCGUCCUCAAAAUCCAGAAUCACAAAAUUGACCGGAAAUAUGAAUGACUCCACCUUUACAAACACACCGUUGAGUAUCCCAAUAGUCUUCUUCACCGUUCGAUCGGCCAUCAGUAGUCGUAUCGCAGUGGGCUUUGGGUCACCCAAACCCAACUUCUUGUUAGUAGAGAGAGGCAUGAGAUUUAUGCUUGCCUCAAGAUCACAUACUGCUUUUCCAAAGUGUAAUAACCCAAAUUAUACAUGCAAUAGUGAAGGCACCCAGAUGUUCUUUCUUUGGCACUAAAGACCUUGUAGAAAUAGCAUUACAAUGCUGCAUUCUAUCAUAAUCCUCAAAAGAGACCGAUCAUUUCUUAGUGACCAUGUCUUUUAUAAAUUUGGCAUAACUAGGCAUUUGUUCAAGAGCUCAUAUCAAAUGGACAUUGAUGGUAAGCUGUUUGAGCAUAGUGAUAAAACACUGAUAUUUACCAUCCUCGAUCUUUUUCACUAUCAUCUAUGGGAAUGGAGGUGGUAAUGUAGGCAUGAGGUCACCUUUUGGAGUACCUCAACUUCUUUCCUGUUUUGUCUCCUAACUCACCACUAGCCUCCACUACCUCAUCAUCACCUCUUAUCACAGUUACUACACUCGACGACAUCGGUGGGUCAAUGGUUUGCUUACAACCUCAAGUUGGGACUGCCAUACAAUGUUUAUCAUUUUUCAGAUUUUGGACAAUAUUGCUAGGAAGAAGGCCCGGCUGGCGUGGGUUCACAGUUGAAGACAAUUGGACCAUUUGCAACUCAGGAUGCUUGAUCGAGAUUGAAUGUGCAUCAAAUUUUAACCAAAUACUCGUUAAGUCACUCUUCAACGUUAGUGUGCUCAUCACUAGCAUCAAACCUCCUCAUCAUUUUGUGCAACAUAUCCUCCACUUAGGCCAUACUGCCUCCACCAUCCUUAGAACCAACUUCACGAUUUUUAUGUGGAACAUAGGGCCCACUCCUAUCAUUUCUGUUACCAUAGUUACCCUGGUUGAAGUUGUUGUCGCAGUUGUAACUCCCAUCUAGGACAUAAUGAUCCUCUCGAUUGUAAUAACUAUAGUUCCAACCUUGAUUUCCUUGAUCUUGGUGACCAUUCUCCUGAUUAGAUCCCUGGGCGUCUAGUUGGAAACCCUCCGUCUGCUAAUAUACAAUAUAAGAGUCCUCCUUAUAGUAAUACUCAUCAUUCGACUGUGGUGGUUUAGACAAGUAGUUCACCACAUUACCUUUUCUGCACCACAGAGACCUGUUUCAACACCAAACCAAGCUCAAUUCUCAUUUGAGCCAUUUAUUCAUGAAUCUCAUCUGUGGCUGGGUUGUGUGUGGAUUGCACUAAAAAAGUGUUUCUCCUAGUAUCUGACUUCCAAGUUCUCCAAGCUUGAUUUUUUUGAGAGAUUUUCUCCAAAUUCUCAGCGAUCUCAACAUAAGCACACUCCACAUAAGAACCACUCACUAUCGUAUCCAGUACAACUUUAUUACUAUCAUCUUGUCCCAGAAAGAAGUACUCUUUCGAUGACUCAUCAUCAAUGUCGUGAUUAAGGACACUUCUCAAGAAUGAGGUGAACCUAUCCCAAGAAAUACUGACUGAUUGUCACGACCAGAAUCUAAACCAUAGACAAGACCGGCGUUGUUGACCUCUUAGAGGUCACAGACAGGCCUACAUACGUCAUUCUUACUUCAUCUAGGUUAAUUUUAGAGGAAAAUUUGAACUUUUUAUCUUCUUACCUCAUGUUAAACAUUUUAAACUUAACAUUAUAGGCGUUCAUAAAUCAAUCAUCUUAUAUAGAGAUAAUCAAAUGAAAGAAACAAUUUAUAAUUUCCUUAAACAUAUUUUUGCAUAAAAGGUACCAAUAUAAAGUAUGAAAUGAAAGUGGAAAGAAACACUAGUGGAACAUGCUUCCCUAGCUAAAGCCUACAUAUAAGAUUGUUAAUAAUUGCAGACAUCCUCAAAAGCAUGAGGGACUAAUAAGUCCGGAUGAAAGCUCCACGUACGGAUACCUACAAAAUCAACCUGUAAGCUCUAGCGUCCACCUGUGCCUGCACCUAAAAAUAUAGAGUUGUAUGGGAUUAGUACACACUUGUACUAAGUAUUGGUACAUGCAAGAAAAAACAAAGGACACGCAUGAGAAAGAAUAACUCUUUCCUAAAAACAUGACUUAUGGAAAGUCAAAUCAGUGGACUAGCCAAAUUUUGAUCAGGAAAGUCAAUGGACCUGCCAAAUUUGGAUAUGGAAAGUCAUGCCAUGAGUAUAACAUGCAUCUUCAAACUUAUCAUUUUGCAAUCAUCACAAAACAUAUUUCACAUAGUACAUAUCAUAAUUUAUAUAACACAUAACGUUGUUUAUAUCAUUCAUUCGUAUGCCAUGAGACCUUGAAAUCAUUGACUGGACAUUAAGACUUCCCAAAAAUGAGGGCUUAACAUAUGGGACCUCAACUAGGGAGUCUUAUUUUGCAAACACAGAGCCUGUUUCAUUCAUUUAAUACAUACUUAAUUUCAUUUCAUUGAUGGACCAGUGUAAACACCAGCUAUACCUAGGAUGUAGCUUAAGACUUUCAUCAGGUUCGUUGUGCAAUGACCAAGAAUGACCUAAUGUCAUUACUUGAAUCUAACUCACCUCUUGAUUAUCCUAUCUUGACAGUUUCGGUAUCAUUCGUUUCAUCAUGUGCAUCAUUUGAGGCUUGACUCAUUCAUUCAUUGGGAACUUUAACUUUAAUGGACAUAGAUUAUGUGAGCAUCAUGAAAUUAGUGUCAUAAUACCCCAUACCGAAAAGAGGUGGAAUCAACAUCCAAAGUGACCCAAAACAUGCUAGCAUACAUGGGAAUUGAACUCCGCCAGAUCCCUAUAUUGGAAGUAUAGGUUCUAAGAGUAGGAGAAAUAAGGAUACCCAUACCAAGCAUGCCGAACAGUCUCAUCUCAUUAGAGUUACGUAAACCUCCGCCUUUUUCGAAUGAAGGCAUCACUGCUCAUAGAUAGUGUAUCGGUGCUCAGUAUAAAGUUGCAUUACAUUAAACUCAUACUUCAUGGAAGUUGGCUUCUAGUAUGAGGACAUCAUAGCUCAAUAGAUGAUUUCUCAUCUCAUCAUUACUAUUAAGUGUGUUAAUCUCAAUACUUUCAGUGGAGUGUUCAUAGAGACUUGUCUCUUCAUUAACUUUACACUCUCAUAGGUGAGUACUUUUUUGUAACAUUUACUUACGCUCAUUUGAGAUUGCUCUCAUCUUUUACAUUAGCCUCAUAUCAUGUUGUCACCUCAUUCAUUAACAUUAACACAUUUUCUCUUCUUAAUUACUCACCCCUUUUUACGUGAAUUUUCAUUUCAUCAUAUGUCAAUGCCCAUGGCAAUUUAGUAUGUUUCACACUCUUACAUAACCCUUCUAGGGUUUCAUCACUUCAUUAUUCAGUUUAUCAUUUCAUUGUUCAUUUCGUCAUAUGCCAAUGCACUUGGCCAUUUUGGGUAUCUUACACUCGUACUUAACCCUUCUAGGGUUUCAUCAUUUCAUUACAUACAUCUUAGGUUAAAUUAUUUUUAAUCGUAUGCUAGACUUACGGGUCUAUUCAUAAAAGACAUGAGGCUUCAUUCAUAGUUUGUUAAGUGAAUCAUAUCUUCCUAAGAUUAUGUAGUGCAAGACUUAUGUAUCUUGUAUGUAUGCCAAGAUCUUGAUUUUGAUCUAAGUAGGUGGUCUAUUAUUGAACAUUUAAUUCACGUAUAAUUUAUGUAUCAAUACGGGAAUUUGGGAAAGGGAACCCAAGUUCGAACCCCUUGGACAAUACUUACAUUUUUCCUUGUCUUUAUCUUUAGUCUUCAUGACAUUGGGACCCUUGAUCGAGCCCUAACAUCAACAUUCUAUCUUUAUUUUUCUCCUUGAGUUUUCCUCUUAUUUGGACGAAUGGUUGUGGGAUCGAACCCCCACAACCAAUUUUUAUUUUUCAUUUAAAAUUUAUAUUGUCCAAUUUUCCUAGACCAAGAGGUAGUGGGAUCAAAGCCCCACAACCUCUCUUUAUUCACUCUUUAUUUCACUAGUGACAGGGAGGUUGUGGGUUUAAACCCCCACAACCUCCUUAUUUUAUUUUUACUUAAAAAUUGACAUACUAUGCAUUUGGCAGUGAGGUUUUGGGAUCGAGCCCCCUCAACCUCACUUUAUUUUCUUAUUUAUUUCUCCCCUUUCCCCGUACCAGCCUAGAGUUUCUAGGUUCGAUUCCCACGCCUUACACUUUCUUUUAUUUUUCUUUAUUUUGAUUUGCUUCCUGGAAGUCAUGGGUUCAAUUUCCACGCCUCCCAUUUUAUUUUUUUAAUUUUUGUACUCUACAUGAUUCAGCCAGCAUACCCCAUAUCGAUUCGCCUUGACCCCAUUUCUUUUUUUUUGAUUUUAUGGUAGUGUAUGGGUGAGGUCACAGGUUCGACUCCUUGUGGCCUCAUCCCUUUAAAUUCAUAUAAAUUUCCACAUUUUUCAUCAUUAUUUAGCCUAAACCAAACUUGUAAAUUAUUUGGAAUUUAGUCAUUUUAAGCUUAUUUUUUACCAACAUUUUCACACAAAAUCUUAGGGAAGUUCAUAGAUCAUUUAACCCUUUUUAAGGUGCAUUUCCACAGAUUCUUUUAACCAACAUAUUGAUAAUAAAAUCAGCCACACUUCCAUUUCAAUGAACAUCACGAUUUACAUAGCUUUGUACACGUAAAAUUAAAACCAAAACAUUAUAAAAUUUUGAAGCCUUUACCAAGAAUCUCAUUUACAGUAACACACUUGUACACACAUACACUUGCACAUAAUUUUGAAUGCAUGGUUCUCUUUCAAAUGAUUUCAAGUACACAAACAUCAUCAUAUUCAUCACGAAAACAUAACAGACACCUAACUCUACCAGCAAUUAUACCCAACCUAGGAUUCAUUGGGAGCUAGUGACAUGGGCAUGCAAGAGGGGAAACAUUCCUAGUUUUCGCAUGAAUAAUAUGAACCUUAAGGGGUCUCUUGGGAAAGGGACCAAGAUAGAAGAAAACCCAUACCUUUUUGACGUUAAAAUCUUGACUUGUUGCCCAAAAAAUUCACCCAAGAAACCGUCUAAGCCUCCUUAAUAUCAACUCCACUCGAAUAACAACCUACCUUAGCCUAGUGGACGAUUAACAUUUGUUUUCUUGUGAUUUGGUGUGAGUUCUUCAAGGGUGAAGAACUUGGUUUAUUUUUCAGAUUUUGUAUCUUAUUUUGGCAGAGAAAAAAAGUGAUAAAGAAUAAGAGAUAUUGAGCAUGAGAGUGGAGAGAUAAACGUGCGAGAGAGAGUAGGAGUUAUAUUAGGCUAAGGAGUCUACUCUAGGACUUAGUCAAAUAAGGUUAAUCUUAAUUAUUAAAAAUCUGAUUUUUAUUUUAUUUUAAAUCAGAUAAUGAAUAAUAAUUAUUAAUUAUUUAUUUUAAUUAAAUAUCUUAAAUAAAAAUCACAUUAAUUCAUUGGUUCCACCUAUUUUCGAACCCGGGUGAAGUAAGACCUCACUUCAAGAGAUCAAUUUCGGGUCUCUCUCCCCAAAUUGCCCCUCCACAUUUUUAAUUAAAUAAUUAAUUAUAUAUUUAAAGUAAGUAGAUAUUACGGUUAUCCUGGAAAAUGACCAUUUUACCCCUAGACCCUCCAAACCUAAGAUUUCAUCUUUUUAAGUCCGGUAAAGACUCCUUCGAGUAAAUCUUCAUAUUAGAGAUCCCUACAUGGUUGGACCCAACCUUUCCUAGCUCAAAUAACUCCCCAAGUUAGUUGUAUUGGAUGUAGCAAGGGUUCCGAAGUCUGUUUCUACGCGCGUCAAUCCGUGUGAACCCUGGCCUAGUCAUGGGCAAUCUUGACACAUUAAGUAUCACUUAGUAUAUCCAUUUUUAGGGUUGUUACACUGAUUCUCGUGGUAGUGCCACAGAGUUGUUCACCCUAUCUUUGUGGUUUAACUUCUUAGACACUAGGUAGUAACGUGCUAAGAACACAUCCCUCAAUUCAUUCCAAGUAUAAAUUGAGUUAUAGGGGAGCUCGGUAAACCAUAUAGUAGCCUCUCAAGUCAGUGAGAGAGGGAACACUCUUAACCCAAUGACGUCCAUGUUCAAAUCAGCCCUCCCCACACAAAUUUUACACACCGACCUCUUUUUUGCAAUGUGAUCAUGUGGGUCCUCAGAAGAUAGUCUCGAAAACAAACCUCUAGCUGUGAGCAUUUGCAUUAGACUACUAGUUACAAAAAAAGUAUGACCCUGUGGUAGAGGAGGUAGGACAAGUGGACAUUCAGAGUCAGUGAUGUUUAAAUUUCCCCUAUAGUACUCUUGAGGGCGUGGAGCGGGAGGUUGCCUCCUUAUUUCACCUUCCCCAUGAUUUUCAGCUAAUAUUUGAUCAUGAGCUUCAACCGGUGGUGGAAUUUCCUGGUCGAACUCAUCCUCUAGAUUACCCAGAGUUUGGUUCAUUCUGCAUAGUCUACGGUUCAGUUCGGGGUCGGGUGAGAGUAUGGGUUCUCCGUUACUCCGUGUACUUGGCAUACACUUAAGUUUCAUCUUGAGGAAAAAAAUAAAGAGAAAAAUUAAAAUUAGGAGAUUUUUUACUAAACUUCGGUAAUGGGCUUAAAGUUAAUCUAAAAGCCACUUUCACCGACAGUGCCGCCAAAAUUUAAUACGCUCAAAUUUACUUCUCUAAAUGAAGUAUAAACGGUCAUAUCAAGUAAAGAACCCAACUAUGAGGUUGGGGUCGAUCAAAGGAGGAAAAUGAGUUAGACUUAACUUUAACCUAUAAUUACUUCUAUUUAAUCAAGUCCUCUCUGAAAACAUAUAAUAAAAGGCAAUUUUUAAAUAAUAAAAGGAAUUAUUUUUUUUAAAGAAGACAAGUAGCAAGUAUGAAUAUUUGAUAUUUAUUAAGUGAUGAGAGUAACUAAGGCAUAAGUGUUCCCCACAGGAUCAUAACGCGGUAAUUCUAGCUAUAACAAUCCUUUCCUAGUAUCUUGCAUGCAAAAUAGUAAGUUAUGUAUCCCCAAUUCCUUGGUUCGGUAACUAGGGAAUUUCAGUCCGCACCUUGGUCCAGCUACAUGUGAAUGCUUUACUAACCUUACCUUUACCUCAUAUUAAGCAUCAUAAUCGAUGUAUGACUUAGUUGUUACUUCGCACCAAUCGACACUAGCCUAUUAGAUAGUAUAUACUAAAUCUACGUUGAUAAUUUUUUUCUUAUUAUGUACCUCUUUGGUUCGACAAGUAGCAACAAGGAGAGUUCUAAUACGUGCACUCGUUAAAAAGACUUCUAAACAAAAGAAUUAUCAAUACAUGCAAGACACUAUUCUAGAAUUGUAAUUUUAGCUAGUUUUUACCUUGUUAUUUAUCCAUGGUUCGCACAACCCUAGUUAUGGAUUUAGUUACCUAUGUUAAAAAUCACACAAUUCAUAUUGAUUAGACAAGAAUUGAUGUACUUACUUUGAUAAGAUUUAAGAAAAUCUAGAAAAUUACUUGAAUAAAUCAAAGUCUUGCAACAAACAAUUUCGGAAAGUAGAAUAUUUCCAAAAAACUCAAGUUCAACAACUAGGAAAAUCAAACUAAAAAAAUACCAAAGAGUUUAAACCUAAAAAUGAUGUUUUACAAGUAUUUAUAAUAAAGAAGUCCUAACAUAAAAAGAAAAUAUAUUUAAGGAAAACCUUCCCAAAAAUACGUCCUAGUCAACGACCAAACGAACGGACCGUCAAGGCCACAACGGGCCGUCGAGACCUCCCAUCGUUCGACACUUAGAAUCUUUUUUAGUUGCUUUCUUCUCCAACCCACUGCUACCAUAAACGUACCAGGAUGACGGUCCAUUGAGUGCAUGAUAGUGCGUCGAUGACUUCCAUUUCUUCACACUUAGAAUCUUUUCAAGACAGGUACUGGGGCUACUUUUUGUUAGCAAUGACGAAUGUGCAGGACGGUCUAUCGUGAAGGUUAAGGUCUAUCGAUAUCUUCCGUAGCCCCACACUUGGUCAAAAUUCCCAAUAUUCCUUCAACAACAUUUUCUUCAGACGACGGCUGCCACCUACGGAUCGUCAAGGGUCGACAGACCAUCAAUAUCUCUGUAAGUCAUCAUUUCUGCAAAUUCAGCAAAGAUCUUCCGCAUUUUUUAUUCUAGACAGUUUUCCUGCAAACAAAGAGAAAAAUACAUUAAAACUACUACAAAAAGGCCUUAGACACACACUAAACUUAAGGAAAAAGCAUUGAAAGUACCAUGAAAGCAUGGUACAUCACUACCGCAAAUGCGCUAACCAGAAAUGCAACACUUGACGAGGAAUAGACGGAUGAGAUGGAAUAAUUCACUUCCAUGAAGAAAAAAUAUUGAAGUGUGGGGAAAACAAAGCUUUCCAUGGGAACAUGAUCGCCAAAAGUCAAAAGAUGUGCGAGCAAUACUCUAUUUGCGAUCAAGAUGCGAGUAGUGGAUCAUAUGCCCCUAUUCCUUGGUCUUAUAAGAGGAGGAGACAAGCGGAUCACUUUCCUAGGAAAGGUUGUGUCGUGCACUCUUUUUUACAAGCAUCUUAGGCGGAACCCUCAUGAGGGAAUAACUUCUUAAUUUGGGCGUGAAAACUCUCCAUAGGUGUGUGCCUUCUACCCAAACGAGUGAGGGCUCAAUAUAAAUGAAUAUGUGCAGCUUAAGUAAAGAAUAUGCCACCAGAUCGACAUUGGGAACAUCCCACAUAUGUGGGGUGAUAACACAACUCUCACCUAUGACCAGCCGGAGCCAAGUGAGCACACCCAGUUUAUUUGUCAUUAUUUCACACCAUUCCGAAAAUUUUUGCUGCAAAUCUACAAUGAUUUGGUUCAGAAUGGAGUCUUAACAUUUAUCCAUGAGGAUGAUAGAGGUCUUGACCCUAUUGGGGCUGAAAUAUGGAAACCUUGUUCUUAUCAUAAUUCUAUAGAUCAUAGCCUCUCAGGGUGCCUCAGCAAAGCUUUUGCUAUGACGUAGAAAUCCUUUGCAACAUGGGAAGGAUCCGAGUCGAGUUUGUUCCCCAUGACUGACGCAACAUCAAAAAGAAAAAUGGGUGAGAUGGAGCCACUUUUUAUCUUAAUUUCUUUGUUGUUUAUUUUUCAAUUUCCCUGUAAUCCUAUAAGAAUGAAUGAAACAAGUAUUUCUUUUAAACCCAAACUACGUACGACCUGAAUUAUCAUUGUGAAAUACGUAGGCAACCUUCAAAGUCCUAGCCUCUACCUUUCAAAAAUUUUAUUCUUCCCAUUUCCAACCACAAGAAAUAUGAGGCUCAGAUCAAUGGACGUAGAAAAGAGAUGUAGCGAAAAUACCUUAGAUCAAUGUGAUUUAACCUUCAUGAGAUUAUCCCAAAUUAAAAUCAGUAAACUCCUUCCUAUUAAAAACCUAUUUCACCUUUAUUUCUGGGUCGGCAUGUCCUCAAACAAAGCAACUUUAGUGUGUUUACAUGCUAUCUAUGUGGUAUGUUGUGUUACUUUUUCAAAACUCAAACUAACAAAUUUUCCUUUGAGUUUCUUUCCUCCGCAUGUAAUUAUAGAUUUUUUUGUGUCGAUUAAACUUGUUGAUCAUCCCUACAUCACUAGAUCUAAAGGGAUUGCAGAUUCCUUUUCCGGCCAAAGUUCAUAUAAGGGCAAAGCAGUAAUGGGGGACAAAAACAAUGAAAUUAGUCUUACUGACAUUGUGGUGUUUCAACCCACCAUAGACGAUCAAAACAAACUUAUUAUGCAGCUAAUGCAGUAGAUUGCCGAGAUGAGGGUUGAAAUGCAAAGGAGACAAGAUCUGCCUAAACCAGGUUUUACUUCAAAUGAUUCGACUGACGAAAGGCCUGUGCUGUACUUUCCCUCUUCAAUGUAGAACAAGCUCAGAACCCACUAUCCACACCUGCUCAAAACCCUUUACUUAUCGACUUAACCGUGCAAAAUCCUUAAUACGCCUCAGCCUCUUACCAGACCCCACCCUCCUCUCAAAGCAAUAAUUCCCAAAUAGCACCUCACCCUCAAAACACCAAUCACCGAACCGCUCCACCUCAAAAAACAAAAAUACAUUUAAUCCCCAAACAUCCCUCCAUCACCAAAAUCAACAUACUAACCCCUAAACAUACUCUCAUAAUUACAAAGCUUGUCAAAAUUAACCAAGUCCGUCCGUUGCUCCACCACUACCUAGAAAAACCACCUUCCAAAUUCCCAUUCCAAAUGAGCAUAAUGUGAAUCGUACGAAGCUCGACCAUUAUGAGGAGCACAAAAAAGAAUGGACAUCUAAAUAAGAGGCCACAAAAAUAGACAUAAAGGAGGAGAUCCGAAGGACAAUGAAGGAGAUCCAGUGCACUCCUAACCUUGCUGGUUUGAACUAUGAAGACUUAUUCAUUCAUCAGAAUUUGGACCUCCUAGAAAGGUUCAUGAUUCAAAAGUUUGACACUUAGGAGGAAUAGGGAAUAACUUAGCGCAUCAAAGGGACUACUUUCACCAGCUCGUAGGAGUUGGAAGAGAUGAAGUUGUAUAAAUGCAACUUUUUAGCCAAAAAUUGAGUGGAGAAGCUUUAAUAUGGUUUACAUCUCACAUGACUAGACAGUGGGCCAGCUGGGAAGCCUUGGCUAAGGACUUAAUUGAGUGAUUUUAUUACAAUGUAGAGAUUGUCUAUGAUCAUUAUUCCUUAUAGAAGAUGAAACAGAAGUCCAACAAAAGCUAUAGAGAGUUUUUGUAAAAAUGGAGAAAGGAGGCAGCCAGAGUUCGGCCUCCCAUGUCUAAAAAAAAUAUUGUUGAGGUAUUGUGCGGGUUCAAGAACCCGAGUAUUAUGAAAUAAUCAUGCUUCUCAUUGGAGAAAAAAUUUCCGAGAAAGUAAAGGUAGGUAAGCCUAUCAAGGAUGGAUUGAAAACUAGGAAGAUUGCCAGUUUUGCUUGAUCGUUCGGGUGCUCAGUCUUGUUAAAAAAGAAAAAAAGAAGAUGUGUCGGUUGUUUCUUAUGGGGGGAGAAGACCCCGAGAAGAUAAUCAUCAUACCAAGGUUGUUCUCGACCUUCACAAAGUCCAUACCAGUCUUGUUACACAUAAGCCGACUAUGGAAUUACUCCUCCUCCCAAUUACCAAAAUGACCCUCCUACCACUAACUAAAAUACUCCCCCUUUAUCAAAUUCCAUCUCCCAUCUACAAAAAUUCCCUUUUAGUUUACCAAAAUCCAUCUAAUCAUUACAAUAGAGUCAUUCCCAACUAUGCCAACAAGCAGUCAAAUUACUGAGCACCUCCCACAGUAUAUCAAGCCCAAGCUCCAGUUUACCAAAAUACCUCCCCACACUACCAAACUCCAUUGCAAAAUUACCAGAAUAAUUCCUACCCAGGCAUCAAUCUCCCCGUCGUAAUGUCCAAAAUUAUCAUCUGAUGUCUCCUACAAGGGAAACUACGAACCCCCUCGUCCUAGAUUUUAGAAAAAGCCUGCCGAUCUUUAUUUGCACUUGACGAAAGCCGAAAAAAGUUGUACGAGUGAAUAACCGUGGAAGGUUAUAUCCUACAAUGGUACCCAAGCCAGUGGACAUUAGCUCUCAAUUUUACACACUUGAUCAUAAGUGUGCAUAUCACUCUUAGAGCAUUGGGCAUGAUACUGAGGACUCUAUCAACGUCAAGAACAAAACCCACGAUAUAAUCAACCAAAACGUGGUCUUCCUCAUGAUAGUUGCACCCAACUUCAAUAGUUAUCCUUUGCCAAAUCAUAGAAGUGUCAAUAUCAAUAUGAUAGAGACGGACAUUUAUUGGUGCGUGAUAAAGGUGAUAGUCCCGAUUGUUCAUUAUGAGCUAGAAAUAGUGGUGGCUUACUGAGCAUCAAUGAGAAAGAGAAAUUCAUGAUUCUGACACCCGCAAAGGCUGUUUCCUUUGUUCCAAUAGAAAAUCCCGCUAGGCAAAGGCUUGUGAUCGAAACUGCUUCAGGUCAGGGUAUGACCAGAUAUGGAAGAUGUUACACUCUAGAAGAGUUGUCCCAUGGACGAAAAAAGAAAGGCCAAGGAGAGAGGAUGAUAAGCAAGGGCGAAGCUGAAGAAGUCUGUUGAAAGAUGCAAACAAAGGACUAUUCGAUUGUUAAGCAUUUGGAGAAAACCCCGUCUCGGAUUUUGUGUGGGCCUUGUUGAUGAGUUUGUCGUUACAUAUACAAGCCCUGAUGAAGUCUUUGGAGGAUACAUAUGUGCCCGUGGGUACCAGCAAUGAUAAUGUAGUGUCCAUGAUCAAUGACGUUAUCCGAGGAUAUCAGAUCAACUUCUAUGAUGAAGAGUUGUCUAUCGAAGGGUGGAUGCACAAUAAGGAUUUGCAUGUCAUUUUCAUAUGUUGAGAAAGGGUUAUAAACGAUGUCUUGGAAGAUGAUGGAUCUAGCCUCUAUAUUUGUUUGUUGUUGACUCUAACGCAGUAAUGAUUUGAUUUUGGGAAGCUUGAGCAAAACCAAGUUGGUCGUUCAGAUAGUCCCUGCAUAAUUCGACGCAAAGUUUCAGUUCCUAGACAUGGACUCUAGCUACAAUCUUCACCUUGGAAGAUCGUUAAUCCACAUGGCUAUGGAAGGGUCUAGCCCUUCUACCCUUCACCAGCAGAUGAAGUUUGUCUGGAAGGAGGAUUGGAUGAAGAUGAAGAAGAUUGAUGAUCAAGCAUUGGCUAGGCCGAUCCCUCAUCAGUACCAAUCAUUUCCAAUUUGAGAAUAUUCCGAUCGUGAUGGCCUUGGGGAAAGAAUCUGGGGCCUUUUCAAAGAUAUUGAUGCUAUCAUAGAGUAUGAGGUCGAGCUAGCUUGUAUCCGUGAUGCUGAUCUUGGGGAGCACCUCAAGAACUGGACUUCCACACAAAUCUUGAUUCCCUGAUCAUCAUGGUAGAAGGACAUUGUUUAUACAUGUUUUGAAAAUCGGUGGUAGUAUGAAAGAGGCCCGGACCCACCAUUUUUAUUUUUCUUUAAUUACAUGAAUUUUUAAAAUCCCCCCGUGACGUUUAAAAAGGAAAAAUUGCACUUGGCCAUGGCCAAAGUUUGCAUUGUUUUCCAAUUUGAAUGAAGCUUUUUUUAUUGAAAAUUUAUCUAUUUUCUUAUGUGCUAAGUUUUAAUUUCUUAUCUUUGUUUGUUUAUGAUUUCAGUAAUAUUAAUUUUAAAACUGCUAAUGUCAUGUCAUGGAACGAGCCAAACGAACAAAAUGAGACAGGUGAUGACGAAGGCGAAGAGCAUGAAUAAUGAGGUACCGGAGUAUGUACAGAGGAAUUUCGGUAGUUUGAAAAUUAGUAUAAGUAGAAUUUAGAAGAAACUGACACUGUGAAUCUGGGAGACCAAGAGUGUGUCAAAGAGGCAAAAAUCAGUGUUCACGUUAAUGAAGCUCAAAGAAAGGAUCUUAUUUAUUUUCUUACUAAAUACAUUGAUGUGUUGGUCUGGGAAGUCAGUGACACGCUAGGAAUGAUUACCAAUAUGGUGUUUCAAAAGUUGCUGACUAAUUCGGAGUCCAGUCCAGAUAAACAAAAGGCUCAAAAGUUCAAGCCUGAGCUAAGCUUAAAGAUUAAAGAAGAGAUCAACAAACAGACUGAAUCUCAAUUAGUGGAAGUGACGCAAUACCCGACUUGGUUAGCUAAUAUUGUUCCGAUCUCCAAAAAAGAUGGGAAGAUCAGAAUUUGUGCCGAUUAUGUAAAUAUCAACAAAGCGAGUCCAAAGGAUACAUUUCAAUUGCCAAACAAUCACAUUCUGAUCGAUAAUUGUGCUAAGCAUGAUAUGCAUUUAUUUGUGCAUUGUUCCGCAGGUUAUCACUAUAUCUUGAUGGAUGAAGAAGGUGCAAAAAAGACAAUGUUUAUUAUGCCCUGGGGCGUAUAUAAUCACACGUUGAUGCCAUUUGGUCAAAAAAAUGUCGGUGCUACUUGUAUGAGGUCUAUGACGACCAUGUUCCACCAAAUCAUUCACAAGGAGAUCGAGGUGUAUGUAGAUGACAUCAUAAUAAAGUCCCGCGAGAGUUCGGACCAUUUAAUGUAUUUAAAGAAGUUCUUCGAUCUUCUGAUUCAUUAUAACUUGAAGUAAAUCUCGCUAAAUAUUCUUUUGGGGUGCAAGGAGAUAAGUUGUUGGGAUUUAUAGUCACCAGAAGGGGUAUUAAGCUCGAUCCUUCUAAGAUCAAGGCCAUUCAAGUGUUAUCUCCUCUGAAGACUAAGAAAGAUGUAAUAAGUUUCUUAGGGAUGUUGAACUACAUCAAUCAGUUUAUAGAUCAAUCAACCGUGGUGUGUGAGACUAUCUUCUAUAUUUUGAAGAAAGAUGCUUUGUAAAGUGGACUGAAGAAUGUAAGACUGUGUUUGAUGCUAUCAAGAACUAUUUGUACAAUCCACCAGUGUUGGUUUCUCCGUGUGAAGGGAGUCCACUGUUGCUAUAUAUGUUUGUCUCGUAUUAUGUAUUUUGAUGUGUACUUGGUCAACAUGAUGAGAAAUAAGGAAAGAGAGAGCAAUUUUUACAGAAGCAAGAAGUUCACUCCAUACGAGUCUCGUUACACUCUUCUAGAAAGAACAUGUUGUGCUUUGACUUGGAUCGCCUAGAAAUUGAGGCAUUUGUUGUGUUCUUAGUACAUAUCUAAUUUCCAGAAUGGACCCGUUGAAGUAUAAAUUAUAGAAGCCGAUGCCGACCGGAAAGUUAUUUAAAUCAAAAAUGAUUUUGAGUGAAUUUGAUAUUGUGCAUGUGACCUAGAAGGUUAUAAAAGAACAAACCUUGGCUGAUCAUCUUGCAGAAAACCCUGUUUAUGAAUAGUAUUAACCGCUCAACACUUAUUUCCCUGACGAAGUGGCAUCAUUUGUGGGUGAAGAUAUUUCUGAGGCAAAUCCUUGUUGGAGUGUAUUCUUUGAUGGAGUAUCAAAUCACCGAGGAAGAGGUAUUGGAGAAGUUUUAGUGUCAGAAUAUGCUAAAAACUAUCCCAUGGAAGCUAAACUCUAAUUUAAUUGCAUGUACAACAUGGAUUAAUAUGAAGCUUGUGUCCUUGGUUUGAAAAUGGCCAUUGACAUGAAUGUCCACGAGUUGCUGGUUAUUGGACACUCGAAUUUGUUGAUUCUUCAGGAUCAAGGAGAAUAGGCUAUUAUGAACCUCAAGAUCACACCUUAUGUGCAGUACAUAUAGAAGCUGUGUAAAAGAUUCCAUAACAUUGUGUUCAAACAUACUCCCAGAACACAAACUGAGUUAGUUGAUGAUAUAACCACUAUGACUUCACUAAUUAAACAUCCAAACACUAAUUAUAUUAACCCUCUAGAUAUAGAUUUGGAAGAACAUUGAGUCCAUUAUUCACAUGUUAAUGCGGAACUAGAUGGUUUUCCAUGGUAUUCUGAUAUCAAUAAGUAUUUAGAGUACGAAAUUUAUCCUAAGAAUGCAAUAUUUAACCUGAAGAAGUCGAUACGCCGUAUGCCCCUUAACUUUUUUCUAAGCGGAGAAAUCCUUUAACUCCAGAUUUAGGUCUUUUCAGAUGUAUUCAUAUUGUUGAAGUUGCAGAGAUAAUUGAACAGCAUCCUGGAAUUUGUGGUACGCAUAGGAAUAGACUCACUUUGGCAAGGAAGAUCCUUCGAGCAUGGUUGUUGCAAGUUUGCACAUAAAUGUCAUAAUGUCAAGUGCAUGGUAAUUUGAUCUGAGUGCCACCUCACGAAUGCAAUGCUAUGAGUUCUCCUUGGCCCUUCGUAGCUUGGGGCAUGGAUGUCAUUGGUCUAAUAGAGUGAGCCACCUCUAAUGGACACAAAUUCAUUUUGGUUGCCAUUGAAUACUUCACCAAUUGGGUGGAAGCAGCUCUGUACAAGUUUGUAACCAAGAAAGUUGUAGUGGAUUAUAUCCACAAUAAUCUGAUAUGUAGGUUUGGAGUACCAUAAUCCAUCAUUACUGAUAAUGGUGCAAAACUAAACAGUCACUUCAUGAGAGAUAUGUGUGAGAAAUUUAAGACCACUCAUAGAAAUUCAUCCGCUUAUUGUUCUCAAAUGAAUAGAACUAUAGAGGUUGUUUAUAAGAACAUAAAAAAGAUUCUGAGAAAAAAAUUUGACAAUUACCGCGGUUGGCAUGAAUUGUUGUCGUAUGCUUUGUGUGGUUUUCAAACGACCGUCAGAACGGCGAUUGAAUCUACUCCAUAUCGCCUAGUAUAUGGAAAAGAAGCAGUCAUACCUGCUGAUGUUGAGAUGUCGUCCUCUACAAUCAUACAAAAGCUUAGUUGAGUAAUGCUUAAUGGGUCCGUAAGCAGAUUGAUAAAUUGGAAUUGAUUGAUGAGAAAAGAAUGGUUGAUGUUUGUCAUGGCCAACUAUAUUGACGAAGGAUGAUUCAUGCUUUUCACAAAAUAGUGAGGGCCAAAAUUUUUAAAAUCGGUCAGUCGGUACUUAAGCGCAUUUUCCCAUAUCAAAUGAGUACAAAGGGAAAUUUACACCAAAUUGGCAAGGGCCUUACAUGGUUCGCAAAGUAUUAUCUUGAGGUGCUUUGAUCCAUUAUGAGAUUGAUGGAACCGCAUAGCCUAAGCUGAUCAACUUAGAUGAUGUCAAGAGAUAUUAAGUGUGAAGCUUCAGUUCGUACUUCAUUUCAUAUCUUUGUAUUCAUUCUACUUGAUUAUAAUUGUCUUAUUUUUAAUUUUAUCCUUCCUGUAAUGAACUACGUCUGACCGGAAUUCUCAAGAAUGAGAUACAUAGGUGAAAUUUUUUUGCCUCGGUCACCCCGUUUAUCCGCUUUUAAUAUUUCUUUGUAUUUGAACUACGUUGGAUCUGAAUUCUCAUGAAUAAGAUACGUAGGCGUCCUGUGUCCGCCUUGGUCGGUUUCUUUGUGAAAUUUCUUAUUGAUGUUAAAAUUUGAAGGGUAGUACAUUUGAGGUAAUUCCUUCCUAAACGAGAUACGUAGAAGCCACAAGGGUUCAGCCAUAUCUCCCGUAAGAUUUCUAUUUCUCUUUACAAUAUAAGCUGGGACAGAAUUUUUGAGGGGGAAUCAAAAUUUCUCGAGAACAAGUUUUUUCCUCAACAAGUCAUGAUUGAAGUUGCUGUGAAAUUUACAACGGGGAUAGAAUUAUUGGGAAGAACUAAAAAAUCCGUGAUUUACUUAUCAGCCAUUAAAGAUGAGCAGGGAAAGUUAAUAGGGACAGGAAUUUUUUUAUAUUGCUUAUAUCGAAGACAUGGGAACGUGAACAAUGUUCUUUAAUCCAUUCCCAACAACAUGAAGUCUAUAGCGACGAAAGAACUAUGUUUAAGAAUAAAUCAAAUGAAAACUCCAGGAAAGACAUUUUAUUAUUCUAAUGAAAGACGCCAUCUGCAUCAUAUUAUUAGGCAUGAAAGUAUCAAUACCCGGAGGGUCAUUUUAUUCGUACUGUUAAUUGAGAUGAUACGCUACCUAGAGGGUCAUUGAUGUACUGUGGUUUUACGGUACUUCCAAUGAUUUUCCCUCUAGUUUAGUGUGUAACUAAGGUCUUUUUGUAGUAGUUUUCAUGUGUUUUUUUCCGUGUUUGCUGGAAAAUUGUCCUAAACAAAAAAGCUAAAGAUUGUGCUGAAAUCUGCACAAGUGAGAUUACCUUUGGAGCAACCAAUGCCCCGUCGACCAUGUGAAGGUCCACAGCUGAUAAUUGUCAAUUGAAGGUCCAAGCAAAUGAAAUCAAAUUGGGGAAAUUUGACCUAGUAUGGGGCUAUGGGAGGAGCUACGGUCCGUUGAUCCACUGAUGGACCGUCAUGGAUAACCGUCGGUGGUAGUAGAAAGUAGUGCACUACCAGGUCUGAAGAAAAAACUAAGAAUGGAGGAACCGAGGCCAUCGACAGAAUGUAGGUCCACUGACGGACCGUGUUGUUGGUCCGUCAAUUGUAACAAAAAGUGUUGAAAUGUGGAAGCUGAAAAGCCACUAAGUAUGGGGGAACAGAGGCCAUCAAUGGACCGUAGGUUCACUGACAGACCUUGUUGUUUGUUCGUGGAUGGUAACAGAAAGUGUUGAAAAAUGAGAGCUGAAAAAGAUUUGAAGUAUCGACCGACGAACGUUGUCGACGGUCCGUCAUUUCAUCAACGUACCGUCAAUAGGGUCAUCUACGGCAUACGCGUUACGGACAAUUUUUUUUCCUUAAAUAGAAUUCCUUUUUAUUUUAGGACUUUAUUAGUAUAAAUAUGAAUAAAAACCUCAUUUUUGGGGUUACACACUUUACUAUUUUAAGAUUUUAUUUAUUGGAAGUAAAACUUUGUGUUUUGGGAAUACUUGAAUUAUCUUGAAUCAUUUCUUUCAAUAUUUUAGUGAAUUCAAGUGAUAUUUAUGGUUUUUUUAAAAAGCUUGUUAAAGUAAGUACAUGAUUUCUUGUUUAGAUAUUAUGAAUAUUGUAAUUCUUAGCAUAGGUAACUAUAUCCACAACUAGGGUUGUGGGAACCAUGGGUAAUUAACAAGGUAAAACUAGCUAAAUAACAAUUCUAGAAUAGGGUCUUGCAUGUAUUGAUAAUUCCUUCAUUUAGAAGUCUUUAUAACGAGUACAUGUGUUUGAAGUUGCUCUAUUUCUACUUUCUAGACCAAGGAGUUAGUUGAUUGGAAAAGAAUUAUCAACAUAGAUUUAGUAUACACCAUCUAGUAGGCUAGUUUCAAUUGGCCAAAACUAGUAACUUAUCAAUACAUUGAAUAUGAUGCUUAAUAUGAGGUAAAGUUAAGGUUUAGUAAAGUAGACACAUGUAGCCAGACGAAGGUAUGGAGCGAAAUUCUCUAGUUGUCGGACCAAGGAAUUUGGGAUACAUAUCUUACCACUUUGCAUACAAGAUAUACUAAUAAAGGAUUGUUAUAGUUAGGAUUACCACGUUACGAAUCUAUAGAGAACACUUACACCCUAGUUUAUCUCAUCACUUGAUAAACACUUAAUUUAUAAAUUUGUUAUCUGUCGUACUUAAAAUAAUUAAACAUUUUUGUUACACAACCCCCCUCUAAUUAACAACGUUUGGAAAGGACUUGACUAAAUAGACGUAAUCGUAGAUUGAAGUUAAGUCUAAAUUAUUUUUCUCGUGGGAUCGGCCCCAACUCAACAUUUGGGUUCUUGACUUGAUACAAUUGCUUAUACUUCUUUAGGGAUGUAUAAUUUUAGUGUAUAAAAUUUUGGCACCGUUGGCGGGGAAAGAGGCUUUCAAGUUAACUUUAAGCACAUUAUCAAAUUUUAGUCAAUAAUUUCCUGAUUUUACUUUUUUGUUUUUAUUUUUGUCUGUCGCAGGUCUAGCUUUAGUGUAUGACAGGUACACGGAGUGUAGAAGAACCAAUACUUCCACUUGAUCCAGAGAUAAACCGCACACUUCGCAGAAUCAACAGUCAAAACAAUCUUGCUUAUAUUAAUGAUAAAAUCAAGCCUCAACAUCCACCGCGGAUUGAUGCUCAUAAUCAAGUAAUUGUUGACAACCCUAGUGAAGGUAAUCCGAGAAGGCAACCUCCUGCCCAACCCCCUCAAGAGUAAUAUAGGGGAAAUGCUAACAUUAUUGACUCUGAUAGGCCCAUUGUUAACCUCCUCUACCACAUGGUCAUACUUUCAUGGUAACUAAUAGCUUUAUACAGAUGCUCACCGCUAGAGGUUUGUUUUUGGGGCAACCAUCCGAGGAUUUACAUGCUCACAUCUACAAACUAAGGUCGGUGUGUAAGAGUUGUGUAGAGAGGACAGCCUUAGACAUGGAUGUAAUUGGAUUAAGGGUGUUCCCUCUUUCACUGACGGGGGAGGCCAUAAUUUAAUUUACUGAGUUGCCCUAUAAUUCAAUCUAUAAUUGGGAGAAAUUGAGGGAUGUGUUCCUAGAAAGGUAUUACCUGGUUUCUUAAAAGAAAAACCAUAAAUAUAGGGUGAACAACUUUGUGGCAUUUCCAGGGGAGUCAGUGAGCAGUUCCUGGGAUAGGUUCACCUCAUUUUGAGAAGUGUCUCAAACCCCUACAUUGGCAAUCAAUCAUUGAAAGAGUACUUCUAUUGGGGGCAAGAUGAUAAUAACAAAGCAGUGUUUGAUACGAUGCGGGUGGUUCUUAUGGGAGUGAACUUCUACAGAGAUCACUCAGAAAUUAGAGAAAAUCUCCCGCAAUAAUAAAGCUUGGAGCACUAGGUAGUCAGAUACUGGGAGAAACAAUUUUGUAGCGCAAGCUACACACGAUCCAACCUCAAAUGAGAUUCGUGAAGAGAUGGCUCAAAUCAGAAUUAAGCUUGGGUUUGUGUUAUAACAUGUCACAGGGGGUGAAUAAAAGGUUAAUGCGGUGAACUAUUUGGCUAAAACACCACUACCAGUUGAUGAGUACUUCUUUGAAGAAGAUUCUAAUGCAAUGAAUAAGUAGACAGGGGUUUCUAGACGAAUUCCCAAGGCGCCAAUCAGUAUAAUUGGCGCCAAGGUAAAGGAAAUCAAGGUUAUAACUAUGGGAAUUACAAUCGAGAGGGUCACUAUGUUUGAGAUGACAACAACAAUCACGACAACAACUUCAACCGAGGUAACUGUGGUAAUAAAAAUGAUCAGAGUGGAAACUAUGUUCCACCUCAAAAUCGAGAAGUUGCUCGUAGGGAUUGUGGAAGUAGUAUGGCACGAGUUGAGGAUAUGUUGCACAAUUAUGAGGAGGUUAAUUCUAGUAAAGAGCAUGCCAAAGAGUUGAAAUGCGAUUGAACAUAUAUUGGGCAAAAGGUGGAUUCUCAUGCAAUCUCAAUCAAGCAUCUUGAGUUGCAAAUGACCCAAUUGUCUUCUACUAUGAACCCUUGCCAACUGGGUACUCUUCCUAGAAAUACUGUCAAGAAUCCAAAAAAUGAUGGACGUUGUAUGGCUGUCACUAGUUGAGGGGGUAAGCAGACGAUGGAUCCACCUAUGUCGUCUGGCGUUGAAGAUGAGAAGACAAGAGAUGAUGAGGCAGAUGAUGUUAGUGGUGAGUUGGUAGUUAAAUUGGAAAAAGAAGCGGAGACACCCCAAAAAGUGACUCUCAUUCCUAAACCACCACCUCCAUUUCUGCAAAGAUUGGUGAAAAACAUAGAAGAUGGUAAAUACCAGCGUCUUAUUAAUAUGUUGAAAAAACAUUCAAUCAAUAUACCUUUGAUAGAAGAUUUUGAAGAAAUGCCCGGUUAUGCCAUGAUCAUGAAAGAUAUGGUAACUAAGAAAAGAUCAGUUAGUUUUGAGGAUGAUGAUCGGAUGCAACACUAUAGUCCUAUUGCUAAAAGGUCUCUUCUGCAAAAGAAAUACGAUCCGGGUGCUUUCACUACUGCAUGUACAAUCGGGUUGUUACACUUUGCUAAAGCAUUAUGUGAUCUUGAAGAAAGAACAAAUCUCAUGCCUUCCUCUAUUUACAAGAAGUUGGGUUCAGGUGACACAAACCCCACUGCGAUGCGGCUACUGAUGGCCGAUCAAAUGGUGAAGAGGCCUAUUGGGGUACUCUAUGAUGUGCUAGUAAAAGUGGAGUCAUUUAUUUUUUUGGCCGAUUUUCUGAAUCUUGAUUGUGAGGUGGUCUUUGAGGUGCCUAUUAUUCUUAGGAAGCCGUCUACCGAUCGUGCCUCAGUUGAUACAGAGAAAGGGAAGAUUAAUUUUCGAUUGAGCAAUAAAGAAGUGAAUUUAGUAGGUCCACGAGGCAGAUUGGUGAGCUCCAAUUGGUAUAUGCGAUAUCCUACAAGAUUGAGAGUUCGUCCGAUGUACAAAUAGAAAAGAGUCUUGGUGUUGAGGAACUAGCGGCAGUGAUCUUGAAUUUUGAGAGUGACUGCGUCGAAUAGUAUGGUUCAUUUUUUGCGGCACUUGAUCGAGGUGAUGUUCAGUUCAAACAAAAGAAAUUAGAUUUAGAUAUGAAGCAUCGCGAGUCUCCACCCGCGAAACCAUCUAUUGAAGAGGAUCCAAAAUUGGAGCUUAAGGAUCUACCACCUCAUUUGAGGUACGUAUUCUUGGUGAAAUGUGAUACUUUGCCGGUAAUUAUUUUCACCACAUUUGAAUAUGAAACAAGUAGAGUGUUUGGUUGAAGUGUUGAAGUGGUUCAAGAGAACUAUUGGGUGGACUAUUGCGAAUAUUAUUAGAAUCCCCUCCCGGUAUUUUUUUCACUUAAAAUCCAACUCAUGCCUGAUCAUAAGCCCAAUACUGAGCACCAAAGAUGUUUCAAUCCACCUAUGCAAGAGGUAGUGAAUAAGGAAAUUAUCAAGUAGUUGGAUGUUGGAGUCAUAUAUCUGAUGGCUGAUAGUAGUUGGGUAUGCCCUGUUCAGUGUGUGCCUAAGAAAGGGGGGAUGACUGUGGUCCCUAAUUAAAAAAUGAGCUUGUUUUAAUGAGACGGGUGACGGGAUGGAGAGUGUGUAUGGAUUACUAGAAAUUGAAUGCAUGGACUGAGAAGGACCAUUUUCCUAUGCCCUUAAUGGAUCAUAUGUACGAUAGGCUUACAGGUAAAUGUUGUUAUUGUUUUCAUGAUGGUUAUUCGGGUUACAACCAAAUCUCUAUUGCACCGGAAGAUCAAGAUAAAACCACUGUUGUCCUAAUGGAACUUUCGCAUUCAAAAGGAUGCCGUCGGGUUGUGUAAUGCACCGGCUACUUUUAAAAAAUUUAUGAUGUCCAUAUUCUCUGAUAUGGUGGAGGACACCAUUGAGGUAUUUAUGGAUGAUUUUUCUUUUGUUGGUGACUCGUUUUAUCAUUGUUGAAUCACUUGCUCGAAGUUGUCAAAAGAUACGAAGAUUGCAACCUUGUGCCAAUUAGGGAAAAAUGACACUUUAUGGUGAAAGAGGGUAUUGUAUUGGGCCAUCGCAUCUCAGAGAAGGGUAUAGAGGUUGAUCGAGCUAAUGUUUAGGUGAUAGAGAGACUUCCUCUACCAAUCUCUGUAAAAGGUGUGACGAGUUUCCUUGGGCAUACGAGUUUCUACCAGAGGCUCACCAAGGAUUUUUCAAAUAUUGCACAUCCUUUGUGCAAGUUACUUGUUAAAGAGUGUAAAUUUUAUUUUUAUGAAUCUUGUGUGAAAGAAUUUGGAGAGUUGAAGGAGAAGUUGGUGUCUACGCCCAAUAUUAUCUCUCCAAAUUGGAGCAAACCAUGUAAGGUUAUGUGUGAUGCUAAUGGGGUUGCUCUUGCUGCAGUAUUGCUCUUUACCCCAUUUAUUAUGCCAGCAACGACCUUAAUGAAGCUCAAAAGAAUUAUACUGUGACUGAACAAGAGCUACUUUUGGUGGUAUUUGUCUUCGAAAAAUUUUUCUCCUAUUUGCUUGUCAUGAAUGUUAUAGUGCAUACUGAUCAUUCUGCUUGAGAUAUUUGAUGGCAAAGAAGGAUGUCAAAUCGAGGUUGAUUAGAUGGGUAUUACUGUAGCAAGAGUUCGACAUUAAAGUGAUAGACAGAAUAGGGACCAAAAAUCAAGUUGUCGAUCACUUGUCAAGAUUAGAGGAUGAUGCUAUGCGAGAAUUAGGUUAAAAGGCUGAAAUUGAUGAUACUUUCCCUGAUGAGCAUGUAUUGGCUGCGUCUCAAGACUUGAUUCCAUGGUUCACUUAUUUCGCGAAUUACUUUGCUAGUCAUAUCGUCCCGUCGGACUUGUCCUUUCAUCAAAGGAAAAAGUUCAUGCAUGAUGUGAAAAAUUUCUUUUGGGAUGAGACAUAUUUAUAUUUGAGUUGUUAUCAUGGUCUUAUUCGCCUGUGAGUGCCGGAAGUUGAGAUAUUGAGUGUCUUUGAGGCACGUCACUCCUCGCCUGUGGGUGGGCAUCAUAGUGGUAUUCGGACUGCCCAUAAAAUCUUGCAUUGUGUAUACUAUUGGCCAAUCAUCUACCAAGAUGUUAAUGAGUUCGCCAAGGCAUGUGAUAGGUGUCAAAGAGAUGGAGGUAUUUCUAGAAGGCAAGAGCUCCCUUUAAAUCUCAUUCCUGUUAUUUGAGUUGUUUGAUGUGUUGGGCAUUGACUUUAUGGGCCCCUUUGUGAGUUCUCAGGGGAUAAAGUAUAUUCUUGUGGUGGUUGAUUAUGUGUCAAAAUGGGUGGAGGCCAUAGCACUUGCAAAUAAUGAAGAAAAGAGUGUCACCAUAAUCUUGAAAAAGAACAUAUUUUUUAGAUUUGCCCCCCCAAGGGCCGUUAUUAGUGAUGAGGGAUCCCACUUUUGCAACAAGUUGUUCAAAGGUUUAUUGGAGAAAUAUGGGGUUUUCCACAAUGUUGCCACUCCUUACGAUCCUUAGACUAGUGGACAAGUUUGAGGUGUCAACAGAGAAAGUAAGCACAUUCUGACAAAAACGGUGAACGUGAGUAGAACAGAUUGAUCAAGGAGGCUUGAUGAUGCUCUUCCGGCCUACCAGACAGCAUACAAGACUCACAUAGGUAUUUACCGACACCAACUUGUAUAUGGUAAGGCUUUUCACUUGCCGGUUAAGUUAGAUCAUAAGGACAUGUGGGCAAUGAAGAAACUGAAGAUGGAUGGGAAUGAAACAGCGGAGCAGAGGUUUAAUGGGUUUAAUCAGCUUGAUAAGUUUUGCUUGAAGGCAUAUGAAAUUUAAGCCCUCUAAAAAUAAAAGAUGAAGAAGUACCAUGACCAAAACAUUGAGAAUCACGACUUUGUGGUUGGGGAUUUUGUGCUUUUGUUCAACUCUAGCUUGCGCUUGUUUUCGGACAAACUCAAGUCCAAAUGAACUGGCCCAGUCUUGAUCAUUCAAGUAUUCGUCAUGGUGCGGUUGAGUUGGAGAACAGGGAGGGUGUUAGGUUCAAGGUGAAUGGAUAAAGAAUAAAAAUCUACCCAGGGCAUGCGGAAAAUGGGAAUGAAGCGGUUGAGGCAUACCAUCUUGAUGAAGUCUGCCUAAGCAAGAGUCUUGCGUCGUGGAGUGACAUUAAAUCAAGUGCUGGUUGGGAGGCAACCCAAUAUGUAUCCUCUAGCCAAAAAAAGGUUUUUCUUGAUUUUCUAGGAGUAGUGCAUUAUAUCGAUUUAUUUUACUUAAUAUCAUGUAUGCAUUUUCUUUAACUUUUUCUAGAAGUGUUGGCUAGAGAAUAGAAUAGGGCCCGUGUCUACAAAGUAUCCAGAAAACACAAAAAGAUUAACUUAUUGUGUGUUCAAUGUGCAUGGACCAAAUCACCAGAAAUCUUUACAAAUUGGUCUGGUGCACUAAUCGACAGACCUACCAAUGGACCGUCGUCUUGUCGACGGACCGUCAAUGGCAUCCGUGCAUCCCAGGUAUGAUUUAUAUUUUUUCUUAAGAUAGGGCACUACUAAGGGUGAUGUUAUUGCUGCAGACACUACUGAUGGUGUCCCUACGCCUGAGUGAGCGGGUUCCAGGAAAUCGGCACCGCUAGCUUGAUUGUUGGCGCUAGGCGCCUCAGAUUUGCUUCAUCUACCACAUUUUUUAUGCAUUUGGGACAAUUGCAUGCUUUUUUGUUGGGGGGGGGGGGGAGGGGUAAAUGGAUAGUGAGUGGGUGAAGUUUGAGUAGCCCAACUCUUGAUCCUCUCUUGGGGUUUUCUUGCCUGUAUUAUUUUCCCCCAAGAGACUGAUUAUUUUACUGUUGAACUAACAUGUUAUUACCUUGUACAAAGUAUAUGUGAAAUCUGAACCAUGAUGGCUAAAAUAAAAUGAUAUCCCGUCUAAAAUGAAUAUUUGCAUGAUUAAGCAUAGUGAAUAUUGAAUUUGUUGGCUCUAAGAAUGAUUUAGAGAUACAUUAUUGCAUGACCCUCGAUCUAACGCUUGAAGUAGAUGUCCAAUAAUCUUAUAGGGUUAUGAGGUGUUAAGUGAGUGUGAGGAAAGUUUAAUAGUCAACCGUUUGUACCUAGCUAGAACUUGCCCGACAAGUCCUGCAAAAAGUAACAUGUGUUAGAGAAUCAGGAAAGGAUCGUAGGCCCUUGUCCAACAUAGUCGAUCUUUAGCUUAAAUGAAAGAAAAUCAAAUGAAAUUAAUUCAUUUAGAUCCAAAUAAUUUGAGCUUACAAUGGAUCUUUCUUUUCAAUCCCAACUCAUCUUUUCUAGGUACAAUGUAUCAGCCAUGGUCCCUCCUUGGACAUGUGCACCUGAGCUUAUUCGAAAAGAAUAAGUUGAGGGUGGAUAAUUUAAAAUUAAAGCUCAUCCUAGACCUGACCCAACCUUGGGUAUUGUGUACUUUGACUGAUGGCAAAGCCAUGAGUUGAGGGUGGCUGUUAUGAAGAAUCUCCUGGAAAGCAGGGUUGAAGGAAUUAUUGAAAGUAAAAAGGAGGAGUGGCUCAAUCAAAGUUGAAAUUAAAUGAAAAAUUUGAAAAUCUGAAAAAAAAAAUUAAAAAAGGGUCAUUUCCAGAAAAGGAAAAAUAAAAGAUAAAACCAAGGCCAAGGAUACAAGAAGAUAAUGUGUAGGGAACAAUAAACGAUGAAAAGGUAGGACGCUUAGUAGUUAUGACAAGGACGGCAAAAACUCACUAAAAUGCAUCUAAAGGUACCCUACCUCACCCUGAGCCUACGUUAGAAGACAAGAAAGUCCUAUCGUGAUCUUGAGAGUCUAAUAUGGUGAAAUUAAUGUAGUGAAAAUAAGGUCAAGCCUAUGGCAACAAGUAUCAACUAAGUGUUAAUUGGUUCUGAGAGAGAGUGUUGAAAAGUAAUCCUUAUACUCAAAAUGAAAGAAAAUUCCCAGAAACUUUCCGAAACGAAUUUUUCAAGGCUUCUUCAUAGUGUUCAAGUAGCUCCGCAUGUGAGCAUCCAUCGGACUACUGUACACGUUUCAAGCCUCUUCACGCGAGAUCGAGUGGACGAACAAUGGCUCAAACGGCCGCAAAGAAGACGAAGAUAGACGGAAAGUAGUACAAAUGUGGUUUUCUCCUUUUUGCUUAUGCAGUAAAGCAGUUGCAUGUCCUGGAAGAAAUAGAGGACGCGAUCCUUCUUAGAGCACAAGAUGACAACACAUCGUCAAUCAAGGAUGAUUGGAAUCGAUCCAUACUAUUCAUGCUGUUGCCAUCGUCCGGAUUUUUAUGAGAUUUGGCCUUUAAUCUCGUACACGAAUUUAUUUCUUUGGCAGAUUCUUUUGAAAUUUGAUUUCUAAUUUUUGGGGAGUUCCGUUCUCUCCCUUUUUCCUAUCAAAAUAAAACCCUAAUCCUCCCCUAUAAAUAAUCUCUUUCUUUUAAAAAAAAGAGGAUAUAGAGGAAAAUUUUGGGAGUUAGACGAUUUUGAAAGUAAAAGAAAAUUUUGGUUUAGACAAAGUGAAAGAAAAUUAAAGUGAUUUAACAAUCAGUCAAGCAUUUGAAAGAAAGACGGAGUAGAUUUUCAGCAGAAAGUUCUUUGAGUUUUAGUUCGGUUUUGGACUGUCGCUCUUUUGGUUCAAUCUCAUAGGUUUCUCAGAGUCAUCCUUUGUGUGUUAGUCAAUGUGUAUUCUUGCUCAUUCGUCCCCGUUCGCUGCCCUGAAUAAGGUGAACCACUCAAUAUCCCUUUGGUUUCUUUCAAGUUAUUUAUGUUUGCUGAGUGUAGUUCCAUGCAGAGUCUAGACGAGCUUGUGUGGGGUGUUCGAAGUUGUUUAUUCUCGUUUCUCUGUCCUCUAAAGCAUCUAUUUGUGUCCUUUUUCUCCCUUUUUUAAAUAUAGGAUUCUAUGAAUUUCACAUAGUCGGAUUUCAUUAUCCCUUAAAUUCGUAGGUAUUUCUUCACUAGUCUAUUUAGCUUUGCACAACUUAGACUUUUUUGGGUCUGUUAGUUUAUUCGUGCGGUUGGCAGCCUUUUCACAUGGUUUAUUCCUGUAUGAAUGUCGUAACAAAAUGGUUUGUGUUUUUGAUAACCCGGUAUGUUUUCUCUGUAUCAUUGCAAACCUUGGCUGAUAAUUUCUCUAUAUCAUUGCAUGUUUAUUUCUUCUUAAAAAAAUUGUUGUCUUCAUCUCGUUAAAUUUUGAGUACUUAUUUGGACUUGUACAUGUCUUAGUUCCUUCUCCUAUAGAUCAUAAAAUGUCAUAUUGUAGACUUGCCUAAUCUUUCUACACAUACAUGUACGUAUAUGCAUUUUCAAAUUUUUUUUAAAGAAUUGAGUGAGCCUGCGGGUAUCGUGUAUUGGUGAACGUUAUGCUGAAUUUGAAUCCUCUCAAUAGGGAGCAUAGAUGGUGUUGUAUUCAUUUGUUCAUAAAAUAGUCAUCUCGUUCAAAUGAGAGGUCAAAUGUAUUUCUUUGAUUUAUCUCGUCUCCACAUCGUGCCUUUAUUAAUUUCUUAAUAAUUUUUUAAAUAUUUUUUUUGGUUGUUAGUUGCUGAAUUUUUGCUGCUUCUUUCUCCCAUUCAAAUUUUACAUUCCCUCUACUGUUUGGUGUGUAAUGCUGUAAAGUUUAAGUGUGUCUUCGUUGAGAUGUAGCCCAAAAAUAACAAUAAAGGGAAAGUUUUUCAUUGCAUAGAGCCUUAAUACAAAUUUUAUGACAUGUUUUGUCCCUGAAUUUGUCUUUUAUUAGUUAAUAUGAGAUUUGAGCACAUCUAAACUUUAAAUUAUAUUUUCUUAUCACUAUUAUUUCUUACCGUAUGAUGAUGUGAUGUCAGACAUAAUAAGGAGUUUGAUGGAUAGUUAAGAGAUAAAAGAUUACCGUGUGUACCACUUUGACAAAAAAUAAGCAAAAACAUUUUAUCAACCGCAGGCAACUUUUGGAAAAUAUGUUGGUUUCAUGGCUUCAUGUAUUAAAUUUGGAAUAUAAGGAUAUUAAUUAAUGUUAUAGGAAGUGUGCACUGAUCAAUUUCCCUUCUGUGGGUAGGUCGCUUUUGCAUAAAACAAUUUGUGUAGAUUUAUUGUUAUUUUGGGUUGAAUCGAGUUGUUCAAUAUUGUGUGGCUUAUUACUUACGUGUUAUAUUUAUUCUUCUGCAUGGGAAAUAUUCCCUGUUUCACUACGAACUCCAAUAUUUCUCCGGCAUUUGGAGAGAUCCACUAAGGCUCGAAAUUUCUCCAUCGAAUCUCCCGACCUUAAAAUUGGUGAUUAGGUCCCCCAAACAUGGAGAAUAUGAAGGCAAUUGUAGAGUUGAAGUCUUGUGGCCAGAUGACCAUAUUUAGUUUAUUUUAUGUCGUAUUUUGUUAUUUUCAGGCUUAAGACCUUGUAAGGUUUUCCUUAUUAUUAUUUUGCAGAACUUAGGACAGGUACUAAAUGAAAAUGAGUAAAAACCCAAAAGAAAUGGGCCCAAAAUACCGGUCUAGGCGGACAGAAACUGAAUUUGGACCCAACUCUCUCUCUCUCUCUCUCUUUUACUUUACCGUAUAUUUGCUUGUUGUUGGUUGUCAUUAGUCUUAGAAUUAAAAAAUCGAAUCCCCCGAAAGACGCCACUUUGUUUAGGUUUUUAAACUAAAUUGAUUGUCUUUAUCUAAACAUAAAAAAUAAAUAUUUGCAAUUUAGAUAAACUAAUUUAAGUAUUAAGUCGAUUACUCACCCUCUUAUAGAUUCCAAAUAAAGGUGAAGUAAAUUAAAUCAUUUUACCCAAAUUAAGUUAGUUUCCGGAUAAUUUAAAGUUAGCAAAUACUUUUAGGUGCCAUAAAAACCUUCCUAAAAUGUAAAUAUGAAUCCCGAACCCUCUUUUAAAGUUUUUUUAUGAUUUUCUAUUUAAAUCUUUUGAAAAAUAAUUUUUCUUGAUUUAUUUUAAAAAUUAAGUGGCGACUCAAAAAUAGUCUUAAGCUUAUAAAAUAUUUUCUUAUAAAUAAAACAGUGAGAAUUUAUUUAUUCCAUGUUUUACAUCCUAGUCUAGAACUUGCCGUACAUAAUAUUCAAGUGAAAUAAAAAAUGUUGCUUUGUUUAGGAGAUGAUAAUAUUCUUUCCUUGAUUUGUCUGGUCAAUUUUAUCCUUUCAAAUAUAUUAUAUAUGUCGUUAUCCCUUUUGAGCAUUUAUCCUUUUUUUGUUAGCCAUAUUUUGCAUAUACUAUUUUGUUGAAUCCCUUAUUUUUGCACCCUACUUUCUUGAGCAUUAUAGCAUAAAAUUAUUUUAAUUGCUAAUUCGUAAGAAAAUGAUUGUUUAGUGAAAAGGAUAUCAAUGAUAUCUAGAAUGUUCUUACGAAGCUCUCUUUGAAAUAAUUUGCUGUUAAAAAAACAAAUGUACAAAACAAGUCCUUUCAAGGAUAUCAUGCACCUCAAUCCAUAUAAAAUACGUAAGUUGAGUGUGGUUACUAUGAAGGACCUUUCUUAUUUUUUUUUGUUAAAAAAGAAAAAUUUAAAGAAUUCUUUAGAUGAUGAUAAUUAUAUGUGAAAUAAUUUUUGAAGAGAGGGUUGAAAAUUGUUGACAAUAUGUCGCAGGAUAUUGGAGUGAUAAAUAACUUAGCUACUUGGAAAGGUUUUUAAAAUUAUUUAAUUUGAGUUUUAUGUGACUUGAAUUGAGGAGUUAGUUCUUUUAUUUGUUAUCUGAACUUUACUAAUAAGUUAAUAACUUAUUUUUCUAUUUUUAGUUAGAAAUUUUAUCUAUAAAUGUAUGUCUUUGAAUUAUUAAUAAAAAAUUCCAUUUGAUAAUAUUAUAGUAUUGUUCUCUCUCAAAGUCUUUCUCUGUUAUUUUCAUAAUUUCUUUGUUAAAGAAUGAAGAAUUGGUAUCUAGAGGCUUCUUCUUGUGGAAACUGCGAGUAGAAAAAUGGAUUUCCAAAACAAAAUUGUUCCUCUUAUUUUUUAUGGUGAGAAUUAUUAACCAUGAGCUAUGAGAAAGAAAACUUACUUGGAGGCUCUUGAUAUUUUGGAAUCCAUAAAGAUUAUGAAAUUAGUCCGUCGCCAAAUAAUCCCACGUGGCCCAAAUGAGGAGUCAUAAGGAAAAGAAAACCAUUAAGUCGAAGGCAAAAUCAACUUUGUUUGCUUCUGUGACAACUGUUUUCAUGGAAAUCAUGGCUCUCACAAUACCAAAACAUAUUUGGAAUUAUCUUAAGAAAGAAUUUUCUAGUGACGAAAGAAUACGAGGAAUGAAUGUAUUAAAUUUAAUAAAGAAAUAUGAAUUGUGGAGAACGAAAGAGUCAUAAAUAGUAAGGAAUACUUGGACAAAUUUCUUGGUAUUGUCAACAAGGUAAGACUAAUAGGCACUUACAUUAACGAUACAAGAAUUGUUGAAAAAUUUCUUCUUACUGUGAUUGAUAGAUAUUAAACAUGUAUAACUACCAUGGAAAAUGUACAAAAUUUGUGGAAAAUUACAUUGGAAGAAUUGUUAAAUUCUUUGUAGGCACAUAAACAAAGGAGACUUAUGAGGCAAGAUAAUAUGGUUAGAUGAGCAUUAAAAUCCAGCCACAAUACUCAAAACAAGCAUAAAAUUUUAAAAUAAUACCCUACUUAUUAACACUGUGGAAAUAAUAGACAUCUUCCAUAUAAAUGUUCGAAAAAACCAUAUGCAAGUGCAAGAUUUCAAAAAAAUAUGGUCAUGAAGUAGUGAUUUGCAAAAGCAAGUUUCAAAAAGAUGAAACAGUUGCCUAUGUCACUACUGCAGAAGAAGAAGACCACUUAUUUGUGUCAACUUGUUUUUCAAUCAAAUAAUCUGAUUUUAAGAUGAUUGAUAAUAGCUUUACAAACCACAUGACAUAUGAAAAAAGUCUUUUAAAGAGUUCAUUCCUAUGGAAAAUAAGAAAGUCUGAAUGGGAAUGGUGAUUGUAUUGCGGCAAAAGAAAAAGGGUCUAUUUCAAUUGAAACAUAUUCCAGUACAAAAAUAAUCUUAGAUGUUUUUUAUGUGCCUAAUAUUAAUAAAAUUAUUUUGAGUGUUGGUCAAUGAAUAGAAAAAAAGAUUUAAAUUAUUUGGAGACAAAUGUUGUCGAAUCUUUGAUUCUAGAAAGCAAGAGAUUUUACAAGUUGAAAUAAGAGGUUCUGAUCUAAUCCAACAAAAGUUGAACACAAGCCUUGCAAGACAAAAGAUGAAUUAGCAUAUUUGUUCACAAGGUCAAUAUGAGAUAAGACUACAAUCUACAACUCCUGAUACAAAAAGGAGUGUUGAGAAUAUGUCUAAUGAUAUUUCAUUUAUAAAUCAGUAAGCUACUUUUACGAUUUUUAUAUUUAUAAAAAUAACAAAAAUAAAGAGAAGAAAAUAAUGGGUGAUGAAGCUAAAAUUGCCAUGUUCUUAAGACAGUGUAAAUCACUUUUAUAUAGUUUUCCUACCCGUCCCCCAGCCUACAUUACAGCCUGUUAAGGUCCUAUUUGAUUCUAUUUGAGCAUGCUUAGUUAGUAAAGAUGUACAUAAUGGACAAGCCUAUGGUAAUUCUUUGUGCAUACAUGUGAAUUUUUUUUGUGAGUGCUAGAGUUGUUCUUGAUAUGAAAUCCUUUAUUUAUGUUCUGUCUUUUUAAUUGAGUGUGUGAACCUUUUCUUCUUGUGAGACCACUUGUUUCUUGAUGGAUAUGUGAUUUUAUUAAGAUAAUUUUAUGAGAGUAUGGGAGCAAGCUUAUAUUUGAUGAGUUCAAAUUCCUUUCUUGAAGUUAAGUGGAUAGAGGUAAGUUAUUUAUUUAAAUGUCUUUCAUAAUGAUUGAAAAGUCUACUUGAUGUUUCAAAAUUUGUAUAUGGACUAAUUAUUUUUAUUAAUCAAAGUGAUGACAUUCCUAUUUAAUUUAUAUGAGAUGAACUUCAAUGCUUUCUCGAGGACGAGCAAACUUUUAUGUGUAGGGCAUUGAUGUGAGGACAAAAAUUUAUUUUCUCAUCAUUAUUUGCCUCACAUUUAUUAUUUAUAUUUCUCUUUUUUUGAGCAUGAGUUUUGUUAAUUUUGUUAGACCGUGUAUAUUAUUUGCAAGUGUAAAUUUAUGAAAUGUUGAAGAAAUUUGGAGCACAAAAAAAUUAAAGAUGGAAGAUUUUAGAAGGAAAUCAAGCCGACAACCUAAUGGAUUAAAUUGAAUAUAAUAAUAUAUAAUAUAUAUAAUAAUUGCAUAUGGCUACAAAUUGAAUUGACACAAAUUUACAGCCAUGUGGCAGUCACUUUAGAGUUGCAACAACAUGUUGAAGGCGGUAGAGCACUUAGUUACGCGGAAAAAAAAACAGAAUUCAACUCCUUUAUGAUUUUGGAUUCCUAAUUUAUUUUGGACUCAAUUAUUUUAUUUAGUUUUUCUACAUUUUAUAAAUAGUUGAUAAAUAUAAUUAUUAGGGGAGAGAUCAACUAUAUGGAGUAGAAAUUUGUUUAUACAUUUCGUGUUCUUUUUUUUUUCUUAUCUUAAAGAUUAGUGUCUAAAUGCCUUUGUUAUGGGGCAAUAGCUAUGAAUUGAAUGUUGAAUAUUAAAGGUUAAUGGAAUAAUUCUUGGUUGUCAUUAUAAGUUACUUUUGUAUUAUUAUUUUAGUAUAUCUUAACUAGCCAUGUAGAGAUGAAUCUAUUUUCUAAUCUUGAAAUAAAGAGAUAAGGGAGUUACAUAGACUAGAGAAUAUAGAGAGCUUUAUCGAUCAAUUUAGUUGAGGUGAUUUAUGUUCAAAAGUGAUUCCCGAACAAGCAACUUUCUUGGUUACAAAACAAGAUAAAAUAUAAAUAUUUGUUGGUUAGGUAUGUUUAUCCCCUCUCAAUGAUGAAGUUAGACAGGUAACUCGAUUAUGCGACUAGAGGUUUUAUACCCCACUUACACACAUAACCUUAUAUAAGUAAAUUAAGUUGACAACUAAAAUUAAUUCUAAGCUAUGAAUAUGAUACAUGAGAUUCAUUGCAUGUUGCAGCUUUAGAAGUUUUCAACUAUUGUAAGUAAAUUUAUUAUUUUGUUCUUGCAUUCUUUUCUUUGGCACCCUCAAAUAAUAAUUACACGAGUAUAAUUCAGUAAAAUAAUCUAAUUCAAUUCCUUUCAGUACGAUAAUCUAGUUCUUUUAAGAGAUACUAUAUUAUUUGUGAAACUGCGUAACCCUCCUUUGUAACUACCGGGUUCCAUCAAUAUAAAAAAGCUUAUGGGGAAAAAUUUGAGGUCAAAAAACAUUUAAAAUAUGUUUUGAUUUUUCUAACCUAGUCCAUAUUUGAAUUAAAUAUAAGUCAUUAAGGUAUAGGAUAAUUUUGUAACAAUUGGGUGAAUUGUUUAUGAUUUUUAUUAAAUCAGUGGAUAAAUAACUCUUUAUGGAAUUUAUACGACUUCGCGGAUUGAAUUCGGGCGAGUAGAACUCCUAGAAAGGUAUUUUAUGAUAGUCAUUGGUUAGAGGUGUGUUGUGAAAUGGGGGUCUUGGAAUAAUUUAAAUAGUUCACUAGUUUUGUGCAAGACAUUGGGGUGGGAUUUUUACCGACAGGGCGAGGUCGCUGCAGUGGGGUAAGCGACGUUAUGGUGGGUUUGACGUGACUUAAAGUCAUAAAUAAACCUUUAAACGAUCUUAUGCUGCACUUUUCAAUUUUUAGACAUAAGGAACAAACCCCGGACGACUCUUGAUAGUUUUGCACUAUUCUUGGGGCUAUAAAGAUAAGGUUUUAACUCCUAAAAUCCAUUUUUAGAUUUGUAGAAGGUAAUAUAAUGGAAAUUUAUUUAUGGUGGAGGAUAUUUGAUCUAGAAUUAUGGUUGAACAACCCUAAAUUGGAUGCUUGGUAUCAUGUGUAUGAUCUAAGGUGCAUAAAAUUGUUGUAGAUUCGGGUAGUUAGCAAUUAUUUAAUAAUUUACCUUUUAUUAUCAUUGUUCAUAGACCAUGAAAAAGCGGAAUGAAUUUUGAAAGGAGAUGAUCAAGUUUCUUAGGGUUUCAAUCUUGUUUUAAGUUAGGUGUUGUGUUUGAUUUUUUGAUUGUGUGAUUUAUGUUUUUUCUCGCUUCAUUAUGAUACAUGUUUUUAUAUGAAUGUUGCAUUAUUGAUAACUCUUGUUGUAUAUAUGACAGAUGAAUUAUGAUUUCCAUGAAAUAUGACUUUAAAAUAUUAUCUUGAAGAUAUACUUGUUAUUGUGAAUGUGGUGUGUUGAAUGAAUCAGUUUCCAAGUUUCAGCAUAACAAAUUUGAUUGGUUUCACCUUCCAACAUAAAUAUGGGAUCGGUUUAUCAUGUUCCACCAUAAUUAUUUGAUUCGGUACCACUUUCUGGUAUGCUAAUAAUUUGGGUUUGGGUUCUAUGAGUGGACCUAUAAUUUGAUAUAAUUAUGCAUCCUGAGAAAUGUGAAUUGAGGCUUGUUCUUAGAUGUUUAUAAUAUUGUAUACGUUUGAUUUACACAUGUAGGCUGUUUUGUUGUAAUGAUUUUUGUUUGUUGCACUUAGUGGAUAGUCGUGUGAUUCUACACUACAUUAUGGUUGUGUAUUUAUAUUGCACUAGCUCUUUUUUUUU
This 43338-nucleotide long non-coding RNA is filed under the name Solanum lycopersicum (tomato). RNAcentral describes it as "long non-coding RNA (SLYC_LNC000645)". Lineage: Eukaryota; Viridiplantae; Streptophyta; Magnoliopsida; Solanales; Solanaceae. The record is from RNAcentral.